This 1839-nucleotide long non-coding RNA is filed under the name Citrus maxima (pomelo). RNAcentral's name for it is "long non-coding RNA (CMAX_LNC000614)". The record is from RNAcentral. Lineage: Eukaryota; Viridiplantae; Streptophyta; Magnoliopsida; Sapindales; Rutaceae.
UACCGGCAACCAUGAGUCCAAUGACCACACCACUGUUACCACAUCCUCAUCAGUCUUGAAACCCAGCUGUCAGUGACACCAAUCGAUUGGAAUCUAGCCGACUCCGAGCAAAACCAUGGCGAGCGUAACCCAGCUGCCGCCGACAGAAAUCGACCAGAACCCAGCUACCACUUCAAUUAUUGAUCACGUCCAGCCGACCAGUUGCACACUGGGCGUCGAUAAUCCACUAUUCCCGAGUAGCUAACAACAAGUUUGCUCAUGGUAAUCAAUUAAUCCCGACACAUGAUAGUUCCCUGCAACUUGUGUUUGAAACUUAGAAUCUCAUGCUUCUCUCAGUUUUAUAUAUUCUAUCAGGUUUGUUUGAAACUUUGAAACAACAUAUUAUCAUUUGUCAGCUUGUUUUCAAUUUUUUUUAAUGGUUAGCAGGUUUUGAUUAAUUAUAGAUUUCAUAUAUUCUUUGUGAGACUUGUCAAAAGGGUCCUAAAUCCAAUUUCAAUCUGAAUUAAUCCGAAUCCAAAAUAUAAUCCGAAAUCUAAACUCAUCUGAUCUGAUCCGAAUCCGAAGUUAUCCGAAAUUUUUAUCUGAUCCGAAUUAUUCAGAUCGGUUUCAGAUUGGAUUUAAAGUCGGAUUGAAUUCGGGUAAAUUUUUUUCCAACCCUAAUUAUCUGAAUUCCAAUUGGAUUCGGAUGAAUCCGAUCCGAAUCCGAAAUUGCCCACCCUUAUAUUAGCAUGUUAAUUGAGACAAAAUUAAGUGACAAAAACUGUGUUCAAUCAAGAGGUUUAGAAUUCAAACUCCACUUAUAUGGAUAAGGAGGGUUUGAGUUACUGUUAUACUAAAUAAUAAUAACAAUAAAAUUAAACGACAACACAGUAUGCAUGAUUAGUACAUAAAAUCAUACAUUUGCCAUUAAUAAUUGCCCUAAAUUUUUCAUGUUCAGACGUUAUGGCUAUUAGUUAAUCAGUUUCAUCACUUGUCUGAUUUCUUCUUAAAUGCCCUUGUUCAAACAAUUUGAAAUUUACAUGAUUGUAAUGAUAUAGGAUAGUAUAUAUAAUCUGUAUAUAGAAUUGGUCUUUGUUACAACUAACAAUGGUUUGUUUAGAAAUGUUUAUUUGUGAAAAGUGAAUCACUUUUGGCUUGCAAACUUGUCCAAUUAUUUAUGUUCAAGAUCAAAGCAAAAACAUUCUUAAGGAAAAAAAGAAAAACAUUCUUGCCGUACAGUAGUUUCCACUGUGUAUGUGUUUUAAAUGGAGCCAAAUGUUGUGUUUUGAUAUUUCUCUAACUUAGAAUCUAACACCCAAGACAUUAAUACUUUCUCAAGAAACAAACAGCAAUCAUGGAAUUAAGAAUUGAUGAGCAUAAAAUAUAUACAUAUUUUACCCUUAAUUACAUAAUUGCUAGGCAUUUUUAUUUGUUAUUUUUAAUUAAUUGAAUUAUUUUAUUAAAUAGGGAAUUAAUUGGAGAUCAUGGAUAAAAAGGACAUGAGAAAGUUCAAUUUGGGAGCAUUAAAGAUUAAUUGACUUUGGAAGCAAUUAGACAUACAUGUAUCCGAAGCUAGUAAAUUAAUUGAUCCAGCCACGUGAAGAAGAAAUUAACCACAACAUAUGUGGCUUUAGCUUAAUCAGAGUGCACCUGCAAGACCAAAUAAAAUUAAAAGGCCAACCCUUUUGGCUUUAGAAUUGAAAAAGGUCGGUGGCCCAUUUUGAAGACUAUAAAAGCCGACUUUGGCUUUUGAGAGGGCAGCUGCCAGAGGAAGUGUUGUGCAAAUUUUAAUGUACUCGCAAGCGCACGAAUCUAUUGUAGUAUAGAUCAAUGGUGACAAGUGUCGAUCCCAUGAGGAGG